GUGUUGUGGCUCAGCGGUAGAGCACUCACCUUGCACGUGGGAGACCUUGGGUUCGAUUCUCAGCACUCACA
Non-coding RNA from Ictidomys tridecemlineatus (thirteen-lined ground squirrel), 71 nucleotides. Lineage: Eukaryota; Metazoa; Chordata; Mammalia; Rodentia; Sciuridae. The record is from Rfam.